AGUUGCUGCCAGGCACUCGAAAGCGAGCACCUUGUCUCAGAGAUCUGGAGCCCCAUGCUCGCAGAGCCGUCACCAUGCCUCUGGCUAGAGAUCUAUUACUUCCUUCCUUGGAAGAGGAAAAGAAAAAACAUAAGAAGAAACAACGGGUGAUUCAGAGCCCAAAUUCUUACUUCAUGGGUGUGAAAUGUCCAGGUUGCUACAAGAUUACUACAGUUUCCAGCCAUGCUCAGACAGUGGUCCUUUGUGUGGGCUGCUCAACUGUUUUGUGCCAGCUCCCAGGAGGAAAAGCCAGGUUCACAGAAGGCGGUUCAUUUAGAAGAAACCAGCACAAAACAUCUAUACAAGUUCCUGAAUUUGUGUUUUUAACAGAAAACCUUAUCAACUUCAGUUACUCUACCAAGGCAAUGCAUUAUUCUUUGAUUUUAUAAAGUACAACAAUGA
Molecule: long non-coding RNA, 441 nt
Filed under: Rattus norvegicus (Norway rat)
Lineage: Eukaryota; Metazoa; Chordata; Mammalia; Rodentia; Muridae
Description: long non-coding RNA NONRATT000806
Source: RNAcentral